RNA transcript from Cornus florida, 2568 nucleotides. RefSeq lists it as uncharacterized. The record is from RefSeq and is a predicted model, not a curated record. Lineage: Eukaryota; Viridiplantae; Streptophyta; Magnoliopsida; Cornales; Cornaceae. The transcript is spliced from 2 exons.
UGAUUUUGUUUUAAUAUCUGCAAAUUCUCGGUUUGUUUGAGUUAUUAUUAUUAUUAUUUUAUUUUAUUUUUUUUUUUUGUUUUGCGGUUGCAAAUCCACACACGGAGUUCUAAUUUGGAGUUUGAUUGCAAGUUCGAAGUUUUUGAAACCCCAAAUCGUUGUUACCCUCUGCUUUUUUCGACUUUUGUGUUUCGGAAUCGACAUUUGGAGUUUCCUUUGCUGUUUCUUUUUGUUUUGCGGUUACGUACUGGAAGCAGAUUUUGGUAAUGAUUUGGGCAUUCUUUAAACUGAAAGUGUAUUUGUUGAAACCUUAAUUUCAUUUAUUAUUAUUAUUAUUAUUAUUAUUAUUAUUGUAUAAUUUUACCUUUAGUAUACUAUGAAAAUACCUUUAAACUGAAAGCCUUUUUGUUUAAUAAAUACAAACCUUUUUUCUUCACAAUCGUAUUCUACAAUAUUUUAGUAUUGAUCAUAAUAAAAUCCAUUAAAUUAUAAAUAAAAUAAAAAAAAUCAACUCGAUCUAUGUUAUUUCUGAUUUUUAUGUAACGAAAAGCUCAAAUACCACAAUCCAUUUAUUUUUCAUUCUUGUUUGGUAUUGAUUUGGGCAUCGUUGUUUGUUACUGUGUGUGCAUUGCUUACUCACUGGAAGCCAAAAAAAAAAAAAAAAUUACCACACAUGCUGACAUAUCAUCUCUCUAUAAGUUUUUUUUUUUUUUUUUUUUUUUUUUUUUUUUUUUUUUUUUUUUUUUGAAGCUCAAUAAAUGUUGACUGUCAUUCAGAGGAUAUGAACUGAAACAAAUUAACUAAAAAGGAUACCCAGCUAAAUGAAUCUCCAUCUGGUCUUGAGGGCAUAUAGAUCCUCACAAUCGUAUUGGAAAAUCUCAUUACUGUUGUGCUUGCAGUGAAAAAAAAGAUAUUUGUCAACUAUUAAUGUAUAAAUCUUCUAAUUGACCAAAAAAAAAAAUGCCACUGCAAAUCUUAUUUAACUUGUAUUCUGAAAAUUUGCCUACACACAUGAGUAUCUUAUUUAACUUCCAAUAUCACAGUCUACUAUCACUAUGGCAAGGAAGUUCAAUUGAGAAAGGGACUCAUUCCUUUCCAGAUCUAGAUGUCAAUUGAAAUAAAUGAAAAUGAUUACUUUUAGCUUAUGUAUACAUGUUAAUUUGUAUACUUUUAACUUCUGUAUACAUGUUACUUUCAUUACUUUUAACUUCUAUAUACAUGUUAAUUUUGUAUAGUUUUAGUUUCUGUAUGUAUGUUACUUUUGUAUAGUUUUAGCUUCUCUAUAAAGUUCCUCCUACAAAUAUGUUAAGUCAUUUGUUUAACUAUGCUGCCUUGAUACUUUACACAUUACUAAUGGGAAGAGAAUAAUUUUUUUUUUACACACACACAUGAGUAGUCAUAUAUUUGAUAUUGUUAAAAAUGUACCCACACACAUAGUGUCAUACAUUAGUGAAGAGUAUAUUCAUAGUAAAAGUUAUACUAUAAUCUAACUUCAAAUUAAAAUGAUCAAUUAGAUGGAUGGGAAUGAUGAGAAUAUGGUGCCAGUAAAUGUAGACGACCUUACAGACAUUACCGCAAAUGGAAAAGUAAUAUGGGAUGACUCUCAUAUUGAAAAUUUCAUUAUCCUUAUGGAGGAAGAAGUGAGGCUUAGUAAUCGUACUUCUGGAACUUUUAACACUAUUGGUUGGAAGAAUUUAGUGGAAGGCAUGAGGCUUCAAAUACGGAAGAACUUUACAAAGAACCAACUUAGGAAUAAGUUCAAUUAGUUGAGGAUAGACUACAAAGACUUUGCGAAACUGUUAUUAGAAACAAGUUUUGGAUACAAUGCUGAGACACCAUGGUUAUACUUGAACUUAAAAGAUGGGAUAUGUUGAUAAAGGUUAGUAGUGAAACUUAAUUUAUCUGUUAUAUACAAAUGUAAGUUUUACUUUAUAUUAAUAAUAGGAUAAUAAUUUGUAGGUGAAUAGGGAUGCAAAAAAGUUUCAAAAGGAGGGAUGUAAACAUUUUGACAAGAUGACCCCCAUCUAUGGAGACACGUAUGUUACAGAGCGAAGUCUAUGAAGAACAAGAUUUCUAUAUACUCUUCCCAUGGACCUUGUGAGGAACAUUGCUGGGAUUUUCUUCUUGAUGGGAUGGAAUGAUGGGAUGAAUUUGCUUGCAUGAGUUUGCUGGGAUUUGCUUGCUGUUGUUAUUUUUAUAUACUCUUCCCAUGGACCUUAUGAGGAAAAUUAAGGUUAAGACCUUGUGAUGCCUUGAUGGGAAGGAAUUUGCUUGCUGUUGUGUAAUGGGAGGUGCUUGGAUUCUUGAGGUUUUUCUUGCAGGAUGUCAUGAGUAGUUGGUUUGGUUGUAUUGCUUUAAAUUUUUAUUUAUUUUUUUUUUUUCUAUUGCUUUUAUAUUGUUUAGCUUUUGCUUCCUGGUUUGCAGUUCUUCUUGUAUAGCAAGGGGAUACCCUUGAUUGAUGGCCUUGUAUAUCAGUUUGUAUAAUUUUUUUGGACUUCUAUUAUCAAUACACAACACAGUUGUAUAUUGACUAAGAUUAUGCAAAACAGUUGCUAUUGUUUAUGUCAA